RNAcentral lists this long non-coding RNA (570 nucleotides) under Zea mays. RNAcentral's name for it is "long non-coding RNA (ZMAY_LNC004673)". The record is from RNAcentral. Lineage: Eukaryota; Viridiplantae; Streptophyta; Magnoliopsida; Poales; Poaceae.
CUGUCGGCUGACGGCUGUCGCCCAGCGCCGGAGCGCCCCAAGUCCCCAACCGGCCAACCCAUACGCGGAGACGCCAAGCCCAGUCACUCCCUCUCGCGGUCGCGGGUCGCGUCACGCGGUCGGCAGUCGUCUCCUGGCUGCAGGCUGCUCGCUCGCUCGUGUGGACUGCUGGCUCAUCGUUGAUCAACAAAGCAAGUUGCAAGCGGUGAAAGCGACUGCGCUGGUGUCUCUGUCCGGCUAGCUCAAGCUCCUCGCUCCUGCGGCUACAAGGUAAUGAAGUUGAUGUUUUUUAUUUUAUCGAUCUACUCAUUAAUCUAUAUUCCAUAUUUCUAGUAGGACCAUGACAGGGAGAGAUGAAAGCUCCGACCGUAGUUCGGCGUGCUUGUUGUUGGGAACACCGGCUCUACUAGCUGCUCUUAGAACUGCUGCUCACUUCUGGAUAAAUUAUCAGUUAAUUAGUAUGCUUGUAUGUGACAUGAGUGUAGAUAUAAUUUCUCACUCAAAUAAUGUCACUAUGUAAUUAUGUUGAUGCUAUAAACUUAAUAUAUAUUAAUGUUUGAAUUAAGGCAU